UGUGAAUGUCAGGGUGCUGUUUGCCCACAC
RNAcentral lists this non-coding RNA (30 nucleotides) under Rattus norvegicus (Norway rat). The record is from RNAcentral. Lineage: Eukaryota; Metazoa; Chordata; Mammalia; Rodentia; Muridae.